CGGGGCGUGGCUCAGCCUGGUAGAGCGCUCGGUUUGGGACCGAGAGGUCGCGAGUUCACAUCUCUCCGCCCCGACCA
Molecule: transfer RNA, 77 nt
Filed under: Chloroflexota bacterium
Lineage: Bacteria; Bacillati; Chloroflexota
Description: Chloroflexi bacterium tRNA-Pro
Rfam family: tRNA
About the family: Transfer RNA (tRNA) molecules are approximately 80 nucleotides in length.
Source: RNAcentral